CUGAGGCGCCAGAGAGCGCUGAGGCGCCAGAGAGCGCUGAGGCGCCAGAGAGCGCUGAGGCGCCAGAGAGCGCUGAGGCGCCAGAGAGCGCUGAGGCGCCAGAGAGCGGAGACUCAAGACAACGGCCGAGAGCGGGAAGCAGAACAACGGGACGGGAUUGACUCGGAGGAAGAAGGACUACCCAUUGUGGGGAAAGUUUGAAUGUGGUUAAACUGGAAUCUACACUGAAGAAUCUGGUGGACGGUGAGACGGCUCAGAAUACACCAGCAUUUGGAUAUUCUGCAAGUAAAAUGAGGUUUUUCUCCACUUGAACCCUCAUGAUGGAAUUCCAGAUGGCUGCACGAUCACUCAGGAG
Long non-coding RNA from Pongo pygmaeus (Bornean orangutan), 355 nucleotides. RefSeq lists it as uncharacterized. The transcript is spliced from 3 exons. Lineage: Eukaryota; Metazoa; Chordata; Mammalia; Primates; Hominidae. The record is from RefSeq and is a predicted model, not a curated record.